GACGUAGGAGGCGAGCGUUGUCCGGAUUCAUUGGGCGUAAAGAGCGCGCAGGCGGCUUGGUAAGUCGGAUGUGAAAUCCCGAGGCUCAACCUCGGGUCUGCAUCCGAUACUGCCCGGCUAGAGGUAGGUAGGGGAGAUCGGAAUUCCUGGUGUAGCGGUGAGAUGCGCAGAUAUCAGGAGGAACACCGGUGGCGAAGGCGGAUCUCUGGGCCUUACCUGACGCUCAGGCGCGAAAGCUAGGGGAGCGAACUGG
Molecule: ribosomal RNA, 253 nt
Filed under: uncultured bacterium
Lineage: Bacteria
Description: partial 16S ribosomal RNA
Rfam family: Bacterial small subunit ribosomal RNA
Source: RNAcentral